AACUCUCAGUAAUGGGUAUCUCGGCUCUCGCAUCCAUGAAGAACAUAGUGAAAUGCGAUACUUGGUGUAAAUUGCAGAAUCUCGUGAACCAUCGAGUCUUUGAAUGCAAGUUGCGCCCGAAGCCAUUAGGUUAAGGGCACGUCUGCCUGGGCGUCU
Ribosomal RNA from Camellia sinensis, 156 nucleotides. RefSeq annotates it as 5.8S ribosomal RNA. NCBI's taxonomy places the organism in Eukaryota, Viridiplantae, Streptophyta, Magnoliopsida, Ericales, Theaceae. The record is from RefSeq and is a predicted model, not a curated record.